This 85-nucleotide transfer RNA is filed under the name Candidatus Zhuqueibacterota bacterium 4572_119. RNAcentral describes it as "candidate division KSB1 bacterium 4572_119 tRNA-Leu". It matches the Rfam family "tRNA". From Rfam's summary of the family: Transfer RNA (tRNA) molecules are approximately 80 nucleotides in length. Their secondary structure includes four short double-helical elements and three loops (D, anti-codon, and T loops). The record is from RNAcentral. Lineage: Bacteria; Pseudomonadati.
GCGAGAGUGGCGGAAAUGGCAGACGCGCUAGACUUAGGAUCUAGUAUCUUUUGAUGUGGGGGUUCGACUCCCCCCUCUCGCACAA